CCUACGGGAGGCAGCAGUGGGGAAUAUUGGGCAAUGGGCGCAAGCCUGACCCAGCAACGCCGCGUGAAGGAAGAAGGCCCUCGGGUUGUAAACUUCUUUUAUUCGGGACGAAACAAAUGACGGUUCCGCAUGCAUAAGCCACGGCUAACUACGUGCCAGCAGCCGCGGUAAUACGUAGGUGGCAAGCGUUAUCCGGAUUUACUGGGUGUAAAGGGCGUGUAGGCGGGAGAGCAAGUCAGACGUGAAAUUCCAGGGCUCAACCCUGGAACUGCGUUUGAAACUGUUCUUCUUGAGUGAGGGAGAGGCAGGCGGAAUUCCGGGUGUAGCGGUGAAAUGCGUAGAUAGACGGAGGAACACCAGUGGCGAAGGCGGCCUGCUGGACAUUAACUGACGCUGAGGCGCGAAAGCGUGGGGAGCAAACAGGAUUAGAUACCCUUGUAGUC
This 443-nucleotide ribosomal RNA is filed under the name uncultured bacterium. Its description in RNAcentral is "partial 16S ribosomal RNA". It matches the Rfam family "Bacterial small subunit ribosomal RNA", at positions 338 to 795 of the family's 1533-position model. The record is from RNAcentral.